GGUUGUUAGGUCGUUGGGUUAGGUUUGGUACGCAGCUAUUAAUGUCAGUGUCUGGAAACAGUAUAUUAUUUAUGUUUACUCUCGGCCAGAGUAAGAAUAACCCAAGAUUUACAGAUUCCCCUAAUUACGAGAACAACGUCGAGGUCAAAUUUCCAAUUGGUAGAUCGAAUGGGGUCACACUCAAGUACCCCAAUCAAGAGGUCCAAGAAGAUUCAAGAGAAUCAAUUGAGUUCUAGCAGAAUUUCAGACCAGAUUAAACGCUUCUCUCGGCAUGGGAAUUCAAGCAAGUUUGCUUCUUGCUUUGGAAUCUGAUUCAACUUCAUGCUAGAAACCAGAAAAUCGAUAUUGUCACUUAAAAAUUAUACACGAAGCCAUAUGCACUGACGAUUGCACGGGUGUCAUUCGGAAUGAUUUGACAAAUGAAAUUGCAAGGCUUUUAAGGUGCACAAAGAGAUUUUCUGAAAUGUGGUAUAACGAGAUGCGUUUACAAUUACGAUGCAAUCCGUUCCAACCGGUAACUCAAUACCAUGCCAAUCCCCGGUAACGAGAGUAAUGCCGUUACGCCUUUCCACUUUGUGAACAUUGCGGUUCAUUCUCUGGUCGAUCGCUUUAACAAUUUUCAACGAGAAUACUGCUGAGCAGAGCUUUAAGGGACUAAGGGAAUAGAAGCGAAAUAAUAAUAAAAGGUCUACGAGCUUUGGUCUGACACUUGGAAAUUGGUGUUUUGUCGCUGCUUGAGAAUACUAAAGAUUUUGGGAUAUGCGAAUAUCGCGUACUCGAUGGCUACUCAAAUUUGAAGUUGCUGACUUUACUUUAGCGACCCCGGUAUCCUUCUGGAACUACAUGACCUUUUGUGGGCUCCUUGGACGAUGUGGAACAAUGGCUUUCGUACUAGUUUAUAGAUACGCACUUGGGCUUUUGUCUCUGUCGGCCGUUUGGGGGAAAGCCGGACAGGGUGAAAGUUAUCCCUUAUGUCCGACAAUAUCAGGCUAUCAAUUUUUGAUUGAAACGUACUGUAUACGUUCACGAAUUAUGGAUUUGAUGGAAUCAGAAAUUUGAGAAAAAUUGAACUGGGUGUGAUGGUAAAGCUGAAGGGUGGUGCUGAGUGGAAGAGGAUGGGGAACUUACUGCUAGCAGCACAAUGGAGCGGUACUUGUGAUUGUUUUACAAGAAGGACGAUCCUUUAGCCCAAAGACCGUAAAUUAUUUUCGUAUCACGAGCCACGAAGUCUUCUGGAUUACUUUACCCCUUACUACAGAUGCUGGAAUGGACCACCGUGCUAUAACAAGUGCCCUUACCGCAGCAGUAGCUGUACUGGAUGACCUAACAGGGUUUAUGUGUACAGUCGGGUUAGUGUGUAUGCAGAUGAUGAAGAGUAAUAACGGUACUGCGUGCUUCAUCCUACACUGGGGAGUUUACCUAGACUCGAUGAUUGAUGAGACUGAUACAUACAUAUGUACACGUAUCUAUGGAUUAUAGAGAGAAAUAAGCUGGAAGCCGCGGAAAAUGAAAAAAUCGCCAGUUCUCCAAGUUAGGUAGUGGCUUUCCAUUGGCAACAGUGCGAAUUCGCACUUUAUACAUAUGGACCGAACUUAAGACGUGAAAUUCUCAGAAGAGAGAUGAAUAUCCAUCAUACAUGGGAUCUUGUCGUUUCUGAAGCUCAGAUAGAAAAAGGAAUAGAAAAUGUUACUCCUGUAGAUUUUCUACAGUCACACAGAUUUAUUUGUCAUAAGAAAUAUCUGUUUUCUAGGCAGUGCGUUUACAUAUUUAUCUCUUCUGGACACGGGUCCAGGAAGAAUUUUUCAGAAUCGCGAAGAUGUCUGUGUUAUUCCUGUGCGUCGAUAAAAAUUCGUAGAAAUUGUGAUAACUGGAUAUGUAACGUAUGCUACAUAUGAUUCCAUACUACAUGAGUUCUAUAACGUUGAAGUGUUCCGUAGUAUUUUUUUUCCAUUUCAAAUAUAGAAUUGUAUGAAUUUUUUUUUGUAUUUUUGAAAUUUACAUCUUUUGCUGCUUUUCUGCUUUGUUGGAUAUCUUACGAGAUCUUUAAGCUUGAGGGCUUUACUCUGGCGCAGCAUAAAUUUCAAGGAAUGCAUGCGAGCUGAAUGCAGAUUUGCGUAUUUCGAUCUUUCCCGUCGUAAUCUUGUAUUUUUCUUCUUUCACAGGAUUCGAGAGAUUACAUUGUCAGUGGAGUGAAACGUGAGUGAAAGAAAUUCAAUGAAAAAAAAAAAAGAAGCGAGAUCCUUUAAUCCUUUAUGGCGUCUGAUGAAAGCACACGGAGGAAGAAUACGAGUAUGACGGAAUCGUGAAAGUAUCAUCAAAUUUGAACAAUUGUAUCGCCAGUAUAAAAAUUUUCUACAGCAUCCAGCAUUCACCAUACCUAUGUAUUUUUAUGUUAUUAUGAAUACCAAUGGAUAUUGCCAGACAGUUAACAGUUCUGGUAUUUCGAUAGAACAGUCUGGUACAUGUCAACCAACGAGACCUGAAAAGUCUGCAAGUCUUCGCUGACUAGAUCAGCGCUCUUCUCGUGCAUCGCGUGAAGGGGAAACCCAAGAUUUGUCCAGGACAAAUUAAAACCCAUGUCCUCAUUCCAAGAAAAGAUCCAAGGCAUGGUACCAAAGGUCUGCCCUCUCCCAUGUAUGUAGAAAUUUCGCCCAUGAGGCUCUUUUAAAAAUUGGUUUAGAGUUACACUUCAGCUUCCACCACAUACAGAUCACUGUGCAAAAAAUAAAUAAAAAGAAUACAUCACCA
Cephus cinctus (wheat stem sawfly) is the source of this 2748-nucleotide long non-coding RNA. RefSeq lists it as uncharacterized. NCBI's taxonomy places the organism in Eukaryota, Metazoa, Arthropoda, Insecta, Hymenoptera, Cephidae. The record is from RefSeq and is a predicted model, not a curated record. The transcript has 8 exons.